UGAAGGUCAGGCUGGCGGAUGAGAUGACUGCCUGAUGGGAAACUCUGUACAUCCUUGGGUUCUUGGGUCUUCUAUUGAGUUGGAAGAGUUCACAGAUAGGCCCUAGAAAUUACCUCUGUUAAUACUGCUCUUUAGGGUACUUGGUUACCCACCACUGAAAUUCUUCAAGAUACCUUUUCUGAAUGAGGGACCCCCAGAGAAGAGGGUUACUGGAUGAACAAAACUAAUACAAGACAUUUAUUUUUUAACUGACUUGGAAAUUUUGCUACAGCAUGAGAAGCUAUUCUCUCAAAAUUAAAAUAACUUGUAGGCUUUAUAGUUGCCACAGAUACCCAGCGAAAUGUAAGCACCUGGGGAACAACCUGAUUUUACAAGUCUGUGGGUUUGAGUAAUUGCUGAGGAAUUUGGGUUAAGGGAAACAUUAUAUAUGUGUAUAUACAUACGAAUUUAUUGCCAUAUGAUUAUAAGUUUCUGUCAGUAAGCUUUUCUUCCUUUUACCUGGCCUUGUUCCUUUGGUGUGGUGCUAUAGGAGCCGUAGCCAUCCUGGCUUUCCGCUGGGCCAAGAUCAGGCGUGCGGCUCUUCGGGCAGGGCUUGCUGCCUGAGCAAUUCUUCCACCUUCCUCUGGAAGAAUAGAUGGCAGGGUCGAAUUUGUUGCUUCUGGGGUUGUUUGCUUGCUCGGUGUGUCAUUUUGGAAUGAUUUUGGGGGUCCCAGAUGGAAACAAAUGUGAGGAACGCUCUUUGUAGCUGGAAAUGAAUAUUGCUUAUAAAACAGAGGUAUAAAAAGGGUAAACGUCUCACUUGGCUAGUCAAGGUAAGUGUAUGAUGAAAGAGCUAGAGUAAAGGAGUUUAUCUGAAAAACUUUAAA
Long non-coding RNA from Harpia harpyja (harpy eagle), 866 nucleotides. RefSeq lists it as uncharacterized. The record is from RefSeq and is a predicted model, not a curated record. NCBI's taxonomy places the organism in Eukaryota, Metazoa, Chordata, Aves, Accipitriformes, Accipitridae. The transcript is spliced from 2 exons.